GGAGAUGUAGCUCAGUGGUAAAGCAUUUGCCUAGGAUGCAUGAGGCCCUGGGUUCAAUCCCCAGUACUAUUA
Molecule: transfer RNA, 72 nt
Filed under: Ictidomys tridecemlineatus (thirteen-lined ground squirrel)
Lineage: Eukaryota; Metazoa; Chordata; Mammalia; Rodentia; Sciuridae
Description: Spermophilus tridecemlineatus (thirteen-lined ground squirrel) tRNA
Rfam family: tRNA
About the family: Transfer RNA (tRNA) molecules are approximately 80 nucleotides in length. Their secondary structure includes four short double-helical elements and three loops (D, anti-codon, and T loops). Further hydrogen bonds mediate the characteristic L-shaped molecular structure. tRNAs have two regions of fundamental functional importance: the anti-codon, which is responsible for specific mRNA codon recognition, and the 3' end, to which the tRNAs corresponding amino acid is attached (by aminoacyl-tRNA synthetases). tRNAs cope with the degeneracy of the genetic code in two manners: having more than one tRNA (with a specific anti-codon) for a particular amino acid; and 'wobble' base-pairing, i.e. permitting non-standard base-pairing at the 3rd anti-codon position.
Source: Rfam by way of RNAcentral